Molecule: ribosomal RNA, 465 nt
Filed under: uncultured Klebsiella sp.
Lineage: Bacteria; Pseudomonadati; Pseudomonadota; Gammaproteobacteria; Enterobacterales; Enterobacteriaceae
Description: bacterial SSU rRNA
Rfam family: Bacterial small subunit ribosomal RNA
Source: RNAcentral
CCUACGGGUGGCAGCAGUGGGGAAUAUUGCACAAUGGGCGCAAGCCUGAUGCAGCCAUGCCGCGUGUGUGAAGAAGGCCUUCGGGUUGUAAAGCACUUUCAGCGGGGAGGAAGGCGUUAAGGUUAAUAACCUUGGCGAUUGACGUUACCCGCAGAAGAAGCACCGGCUAACUCCGUGCCAGCAGCCGCGGUAAUACGGAGGGUGCAAGCGUUAAUCGGAAUUACUGGGCGUAAAGCGCACGCAGGCGGUCUGUCAAGUCGGAUGUGAAAUCCCCGGGCUCAACCUGGGAACUGCAUUCGAAACUGGCAGGCUAGGGUCUUGUAGAGGGGGGUAGAAGUCCAGGUGUAGCGGUGAAAUGCGUAGAGAUCUGGAGGAAUACCGGUGGCGAAGGCGGCCCCCUGGACAAAGACUGACGCUCAGGUGCGAAAGCGUGGGGAGCAAACAGGAUUAGAUACCCGGGUAGUC